AGUCCCGUUGAGUAGCGGUCAAUCUUUCAAGCCUUUGGAGCUUGAGACCCCGGUUCGAAUCCGGGCGGGACUA
Molecule: transfer RNA, 73 nt
Filed under: Methanococcoides burtonii DSM 6242
Lineage: Archaea; Methanobacteriati; Methanobacteriota; Methanomicrobia; Methanosarcinales; Methanosarcinaceae
Also listed under: 6 other names
Description: tRNA-Gln (TTG) (tRNA-Gln-TTG-1-1)
Rfam family: tRNA
About the family: Transfer RNA (tRNA) molecules are approximately 80 nucleotides in length.
Source: RNAcentral